This 491-nucleotide long non-coding RNA is filed under the name Scophthalmus maximus (turbot). Its description in RNAcentral is "lncRNA (ENSSMAG00000025350.1)". The record is from RNAcentral. Lineage: Eukaryota; Metazoa; Chordata; Actinopteri; Pleuronectiformes; Scophthalmidae.
AUGUACAGUAAACACAGGCAGAAAAAAAAUGCCCACACAUCACCGGCGAAAUGCGGACGUCUGCUGCUUUUCCUCUCCCUCCUGCUGCUGAGCGGCUCCGCGGAGAGAGCCGGCGGACGGCCCGGGCGCGAAGGGCUAAGGACGGGAAGGACGGUGACGGCGCAGUGGCUUUCUCAAGGCCGAAUCAAGAGGGAGGCGGAGACCUUGACACAGGUAGAGUACCCAGUCAGAGGGGAAAUAGCGCUCUCAUCCAAUGACCUCCAACUGGUGCUUCAAGUGGAACAUAAUCACACCUUAGCCCCUGCUACCCUGUUGACAACUAGCCUGAACCUAACCUGGCAGCUUCAAUCAAGCUUGAUUGCCUGAGUUGCAGACGUGGACACACUGAGCAGAGCUGUGUCGUUGUGCUUCAGCACAAAGGUCAUUCGUCAUAUAACCAGGUAAUCACUGUGGGCGCACACUUUACCCAGUGCUUGCUAAGAUUCAAGGUU